This 6698-nucleotide long non-coding RNA is filed under the name Sus scrofa (pig). RNAcentral describes it as "lncRNA (ENSSSCG00030012808.1)". The record is from RNAcentral. Lineage: Eukaryota; Metazoa; Chordata; Mammalia; Artiodactyla; Suidae.
ACAUAAGUGCCAUCGCCGGACUAGGAGCUGUGUGGAGAUGAUGGAGGUCUUUUGUGGCUUUUGGUUUUCUUUGGGUUGAAGGUGUUAGGUGAAGAUACAGAGGCCCUACUGAGUAACUGAACAGGAUGCUGUUGCUUGCUUUGAAGCACGUAACACUGCAGUGCUGAUCUUGGGGGACCUGUAGAGAACAACAUCAAGUGCAGGAGUGCCACGUUCCCAGGAGAUGUGCCAUCUGACUUCAGGUUGCUCAAUUCCAAGACAAAGGGCUCUUUGAUAAUGGGCUAGAAAAAAGGGUUAAAGAAUGGUUUAGAACUAAUUCGAGAAAGAACAAUCCAAUUCCCACUUGGAAAAGGACACAAGCUGAAUCAUACGGGACUGUGGAGCCUGGGGAGGAAAUUGUGAGUACUCGCUCUUGAUUGAGUAUCAUUAUCCUCCUGUGGUCUGGGAAGAUGAUUGUUAUAAUUAGCAGCAAAUGUCAUGGGCAACUAUAAUUUACCUUUCCGUGUAACAACUGAUAGUUUACCUUUUUCAGUGCCUUCUACCUACCCAUCAUGUCAUUCUCCCCACCUUUGGUAACAAUCAGAUACGAAGUGGAAUAGAUUUGUCAUAUGGUGUUGUAUCCCAGUGUAUACUGACAGCAAUCAUGUGGCUAUUAGUUUUUUAAAGUCAUUAAAUGACCACUCACCCUAAUUUUGGGCUCUCUUAAGAUUAAAGUUUCUACAGGGAGAAAUUAGAAACCACAGGGUUACACAAUAGGCGGGCAGGAGAGAUCCUCAGAGAUAGGCUAGGACUCUUUCUUAUUAGUCUUAUUUCUGAGUGUAAAGGGAAGUUACUUACUGCUAUGCACAGUUGCCUUUAAGUGAAUUUUAAGAUUCUUUAGGUUUUAUUUAUGAUGUCCUCUUUUCAAUUCCAUUUGAAUUUAUUGUGGUAAUUUAAAAGCAGUACAUGUAACUCGAGUUGAAUAUUAAAAAUAGAAUGCAAAGGCACAAUAUUUUAUAAGGCAUCAUAUAAUUAAUUGUGAAGAAUAUUUAUGUAGCAUGUAGCUGUGCUAGGUAUUUAUUACAUGAUAGAGUUGUUGAGUUGCCUUUAAAUGAAAGUAGCUCAAGUGCUUGAGUACUGUUUUUAGAAGAGUAGCCCACUCAUUUGGAAUGUUGCUCUGGUCUAGAUAAAUAGGUCCCAGUGUAGAUUUUUUAUUUGCCUUUUUAGGGCCACACCCACAGCAUUCAGCGUAUGUGCAAACUGUCUUUGAUGGUAAAGAAAAUGUCAUACUAAGUAUUAGUUUGAAGUAAGAAAUAAAAUCUUAAAAUGAUAAGAGCACAUGUAACUAGACAAAAGCAUUACAUUAUCAAAUAUUUGUUAUAAAACAUACUAAAAUAGAAAAUCAGAUGUACCAUAAACACUUAAAAUAUGGCUACAUUGGAAAUCUGGAGAUGGAAAUCUAAGGGAUUUAUUUGACUAUUUUUAUUCAAAUGAUUUCUGUUAAGCUCUUUACAAAAUUUCUAUUCAAACCAUGAAUAAAUUGUAGUACUUGAGUUCCCAAAUACUGCAAGACUUACAAAAAUAUCAGCAUAUUCACAUCCUUGUUAAAUUCAUCCUACUAAGGUCUAGUGACUGCCAAAGCAUACAGCAAUAUUAUGAUAAAUCUACUGAGGGGAAUUUGGGAAUGUAUAUAGUAUAGUUGAAGAAAAUGAUUUAUAUAUGACAUAGGACAAAAAAAGUUGAGCUAUUAAAAGCUAAAUACUCUCCAAAAGAUUCUAAUUCUAUAGCAAAUUAUUUGAGGUCCCAUAAUAUGCUAAUUUAAUUUGUAUAUGUAUAAAAAUUUUGAAUUGACAUUCACUGAAUAAUUAGACUUUUCAUAAAUAGUCUUAGAUAAAAUAACAAUAACCCUUUUUUCCACCAAAACCCCCUAACCCCUUAAGGGUGCUCAAUUUAAUUUUAUUUUAAAACUUUUAAGAAUGUUUACUCUCAUCUUCAAUUCUGUUCCAAAGUAAUAAAAACGUAAAUCCACAAUGUGUUUAUUUUUUCCUCCUCCAAAUCUCUGCGUGAUUCUAUUGUUAGUCAUCUGAUUAAAAAUGUACACCAGCUUUGUUUUCUUUUUUUAAUCAAGCAGUCCCAUACUGUUCCUGAAGAGAAAACAGGCUGUUGGCAAGUCUAGUCUACUAUUGGAGAUUUAAAGGCAACUUGAAACACAGCAAGAAAUUAUAACAUUACUCAGAGACUAUUAAAAAUAAUUUAAACUUAAAAAGAUGAAGAAAAAGUGUAAUAAGAAUAUUAAAAUGCAUGGUAUAUAAACCUCUGCCCUGCCACAACUAGACCAGAAAUCAGUACUAAGCUUUGUAACAGUUAACUGAGAAAUUGUAACCUGAACAAUUCCAUAGUUCACAGAAUUGGUGUUUAAAAAUAGACCAAUUGUUUAAGAGGUACAAUUAUUUUGUAUACUAAUCCCGGAAAGAAAUUUCUUGCAAGAUUUCUCAUUAAGAGAAUAAUGUAAACAACAUCCUCUGUGAUAUUCCUACAGGAGAGUUCAGAAGGUCCACUUAAAAAAAUUACGUACUAAUUAUUUAAUAAUUAUUAUGAGCUUUGUAUUAAUGUAUGUAAAUUAAUGUAUAAAUGUGAUAGUUAACCAUACAAAUGUAUGAAUUAUUAAGUGUAUGCUAUAUUUUCUUAGAGUACUACAACAAAGCAGAGGAUAGAGAGGUAAUCUUAUUUUCUAUGGAAGCGCAUAGCAUAAAUACCAUGAACCAGCAGUGGCUUUAAUAGACACCUGGUCGUUCUAUUUGUUGCCAAGCAGAGGGGGAGGGGUUCAGGUGCACACUCCAAAUCAAAAGUCAUCACUUGGCAAACUAUCCAUACAGUUGCCUUAUAAUUUAUGAUCUUAUGCAGUAAGUUAGCUCAUUUAGUUCUCUAAGUAUAUAUUUUGCAAUCGUUUCUCAACUGUACAGAGAAUGGCAUGCUAUUCAAGAUUAACUACUCAAAGGGUUUUUUCCUGAUUCUUUAAAAAAAAAAAAAAGCCAAAGGCCAUGCAAGAUUGGUUUGCUUGUGUAUAUAAUUUUUAGGCUUUUUUUUUUUUGCCAUCUACCCUCUGCUGGAGAAUUUUGGGGAGUUAUUGGUUCUUUCCUCUGUAUAUACAAAAUUACAUCCUGAGGAACUACUUCUUGAAUCUUCCUGUAGGGAGUGAGAAGCUUUCUAGUCACCCUCCAUCCUGUUGGGCAAACACAUCGACUUUCCUGAGAGGAUGUUAGUUCAUCCCAAUUUAGACAUAUGGUCCCAAGCUAAUGCAGAGAUAGCUGUACUUCAAGUAACUAUUAAAGGAUAUACCUUAAGGUCCUUGCUGUUCCAAUUUUAUGUGAUGCUCACUUGAACAAAAGUGUCUUUAUAAACACAGUACACUCAUAUCACUAAAAGGAUAUGUGGUCCAGCUGAGAACUGCAUUAAUUGACUGCUUGUUGCUGUUGGCCCCUCAUAUUAUUGUUUUUAUUGAAUUGCCUCUUUAGGGCAAUGCCUCAGCGUACAGUGAGUCAUUUUGUAAGAAAACAGUCUUACGAAACAUGCUGCUGUUGGGUUUGUUUCAUCAGCUAGUGCCAUCUUCAUGAGCGCUAGUGGGAGAAGUGUCUGUAGGAUUUCAAAAAUAAUAAAGCCUGUCCUGGGCCACAUUUUCCUGUGAGUAAGGUACCCGAAUGGACGACAUCUGAAGCCUGGGCAUCCUGGCUCUGUCGUCUAAGACCUCCUUUGCACCAGAUGCCAGAAAAGGUAGGGUCAAUAUAUGACCUUCUAGCAAAGGUCCAGAUCCAUAGGCAGCUUGUGUUCUCACUUCAGUCCUGGCUUCACCUAAUUUCUUCUGUUGCCAUUUUACCCUUGAUUCCAUUUUUUAUCCUCUUAGUUUUUAUCUUUUCUUAGUAUAGUGUAUGGAUUUUGAAAGCUCCCUUAAAUAAUUUAUGGAAGCGAGUGUGAGAGUUUUGAGAACAGUGAAGGCCUUGACCUUUCAUUGUUCCAUGUCCUCUGAGUCCAGGGAAUCCUGUGUUCUUUAAGCUGUCCCCAUAUGCAGUCAGAUGGCACUCAAGAUUUGCUACUCUUCCCUCUACAGGCCUUUUCUGUCCUGAUAAAAUAUUUUACCACCUUCCCCAGGGAGGACAUGAAACAUGGUUGCUGUUGCAGAUGACUUGUGCUCUGCUUUUUAAGCAUAUAAAUUUUCAUUUGGAUUUAUUUAUUUAUUUGCUUUUUAGGGCUGCACUUGCAGCAUAUGGAGGUUCCCAGGUGGCCCAAUCAGAGCUUCAGCUGCCAGCCUAUGCCACAGCCACAGCCACGUGGGAUCCCGGCCAUAUCUGUGACCUACACCACAGCUCACAGCAACGCUGGAACCUUAACCCACUGAGUGAGCCAGGAAUCAAACUGGCAACCUCAUGGUUCCCAGUCGAACUCAUUUCCACUAUGCCAUGAUGGGAACGCCUAAGCAUAUAGAUUUUAAUAUGAAAGUUAAGUCUUCUUGGAAGUGUUAGAUUCUGUGAGCUUAUGUUUUUGAUGACUCAUAUUGUCACUCAGUUCCUUGCGUGAUUUAGUGAAAGAUCUGAACUCUUCUUCUCUGAAAUGAACACACUCAUUUAAUUUAAAAAAUGGAAUGUUUACAUAAUUAUCUUGAUAAGAGUUGACAGCAAAGCAGAAAUUCUGAGAAAUGCUAGUACUAAAUAUUGUCAGUAAACUCAUUUCUCCUUUGUCUGAAAAUGCUUCUUACUUAAAUGGCAUAGUGGAGAUUCAGUAUAUCCUGAGUCGCUUUAGCAUUCCUACUUUUUGAAUAACUAAGAUGAAUGUGGGAAAAUCAUCUUGAUGAGGUUAUCGUUCAUUCACUGGUCCAUUUAUUCCUACGGUCAGUAACUUCUCUGUACCCUCUGCCAUUCGAGGUAUUGAAGAUUCAGUGAUGAAAUUCAAAAAUCCUUGCCGUCCUGGAAAUUAUAUUCUAGUCAGGGAGAAGAUAAUUAAACAUAGCAGUGGAUUCAUAAACAACCAAGUGAGAUAAUUUAGCAGAUGGUUGUAAGCCUAAGCUAUGAAGAAAAAGAGGUGGCUAAGUGUAGUCAUGAGUUUGGUUAGGGGAAUGAGGACAGGCCAGUGACCUUUGGUAUGAGACCCAAACUAUGAGAGGGAGCCAGGCACACAAAGAUCUGGGGCAAGAAUCUUUUGAGCAAAGAGAACAACCAGUUCAAAGGAUCUGAGAGGGGAACAGGUUUGCAUGAUCGGGGGCCAGGGAAUUCAGUAUGGUUUGAGGACAGCGAUGUCAGAAGCGAAAUAGGCCAGGAGGAGGAGGGGCAGGCAGAGGGUAGGCCAUUUGGGGUCCUGAGCUACACAAGUCUUAUCUGUGGGGACCUUGAGAAAGUCACCUAACAUUAUCUUGGGCUCAGUUUCCAGAAGCAAAUGGGGAGGAGAAAAUCUACUUCCUAGGCUUAAUUGAAGAGAUUUUGCAUGUUAAUCAAUGGUAAGUGCUUGGUAGAAUGCCUGGCACUUAGAAUUAUUUGUGUUAUCUUUUAUUAUUAUGUACAUAAGAAUGGUAUGAUUUUCCUCUAGCUAACAGUUUAUUGCCCUAAUAGACUUUUAAAGCUAUAAGAGACUUGAGUAGUCAUAUCCAAUCUGGACAUUUUACAGAUGAGGUUUUCAUUCAGAGAGGCCCAGUGGCUAUGCAAGUUCCCACCAGUGAGUAAAUGUUUAGACUAGAAACUCAGCCUCUUGACUCUCAGCAAGAGCUUUCUCUAUUAGGUGGUGUUGGUCUGUAUGUAUAAACCUAAUGGCUUAGAAUUAGCUUCCUUAGUAUUUGCCUUAUGGGAUUAUAUUUGGAAAGGUAUUAUUGAACCUGAUUUUUUUUUUUUUUUUUUUUGUAGAGACUGAGAUAGUUACCAUGUUGGUAGUAAAUUUAUAAGCCAAUGAUUUACUGAUAAUUAAAAUAUAUUUGAAAGUAAUUUAAAUUUCACAUUAUUCUGUUUUAAUUCCCUGAUUAACCACAGAUUCAAAUAUCCCAUUUGUAGCUUUAGCAUUUAUAAUUUUGCUAGAUAGAUCUAGCAAAAUUAUUUUAUUAUACCAUUCAUUCAUUUAUUCAUUUAUUACCUCCACAAUCUUUCUCUUCCCCAUACCCAAUGUGAAAACCUGCCCUCAUGGAAUUUAUACUACUUGAGAGAAGCAGAUAAUGAGCACAUGAAUAAACUAACAAAUGACUUAAAAGGUAAUUGCAGAGCAGUCCCCAAAAUAUAUUAAAAUGGGGAAAUCAAGCAAUCAGUGAUUUGUUGUUAUAAUAGAUAGGAAUGUUAUCAUGAACAAGCUUCAGUUCUCUAGCCUCACAACCUACCAAUAAACAGAGUAAUGGUUUAUAUAAAUUCAAAUGCAGUUAUGUACAUGGUAUUACUGAACAGUGGGGUUUAAAUUAAUAUAUAGCAUAGUCUUUGUUAAAGAACCAGUAUAUAGGGAGUUCCCAUUGUGGCACAGUGGUUAACGAAUCUGACUAGGAACCAUGAGGUUUCAGGUUCGAUCCCUGGCCUUGCUCAGUGGGUUAAGGAUCUGGCAUUGCUGUGAGCUGUGGUGUAGGUCACAAAUGCGGCUCGGAUCUGGUGUUGCUGUGGCUGUGGUGUAGGCCAACAGCUACAGCUCUGAUUCAACCCCUAGCCUGGGGACCUCCAUAUGCUGUGGGAGCGGUCCUAGAAAAGGCAAAAAAAAAAAAAAAA